UACACUCCUACGGGAGGCAGCAGUGGGGAAUUUUGGACAAUGGGCGAAAGCCUGAUCCAGCAAUGCCGCGUGUGUGAAGAAGGCCUUCGGGUUGUAAAGCACUUUUGUCCGGAAAGAAAUCCUUGGCUCUAAUACAGUCGGGGGAUGACGGUACCGGAAGAAUAAGCACCGGCUAACUACGUGCCAGCAGCCGCGGUAAUACGUAGGGUGCGAGCGUUAAUCGGAAUUACUGGGCGUAAAGCGUGCGCAGGCGGUUUGCUAAGACCGAUGUGAAAUCCCCGGGCUCAACCUGGGAACUGCAGUGGUGACUGGCAGGCUAGAGUAUGGCAGAGGGGGGUAGAAUUCCACGUGUAGCAGUGAAAUGCGUAGAGAUGUGGAGGAAUACCGAUGGCGAAGGCAGCCCCCUGGGCCAAUACUGACGCUCAUGCACGAAAGCGUGGGGAGCAAACAGGAUUAGAUACCCGAGUAGUCCCAUG
This 476-nucleotide ribosomal RNA is filed under the name uncultured organism. RNAcentral describes it as "partial 16S ribosomal RNA". It matches the Rfam family "Bacterial small subunit ribosomal RNA", at positions 332 to 799 of the family's 1533-position model. The record is from RNAcentral.